UCUCCGUAGGUGAACCUGCGGAGGGAUCAUUAUCGGGUUCUGAAACUCCAAUCUCCUGCUGGAUCUCUUCGCCGGUCAUGUACACGCUUCUUCUCCCUUAUUUCUCCCACUGUCCACAAAUGAUUGUCCUUUCAGUCCGCAUAUGUUGUUUGUCACAAUCACGGAAUGUAAUAAAAUGGUUUACAAUGUAUGGAUUUGCAAUACAACUUUCAACAACGGAUCUCUUGGCUCUCGCCUCGAUGACGAACGCAGCUGAUCGUACGCGAACACGUCUGACGC
Molecule: unclassified non-coding RNA, 279 nt
Filed under: plant metagenome
Description: partial contains small subunit ribosomal RNA, internal transcribed spacer 1, and 5.8S ribosomal RNA
Rfam family: 5.8S ribosomal RNA (bases 205-279)
Source: RNAcentral